UGGAGGCCAAAGCAGGCGGGGCGCCUCCAGGGCUGCAAGCUAGGGCAGUUUGUUUUUCACCCUCGCAGGGCAAGGAAUGGGACCCUCACUGACGUCCGGAACCUGGGCAGUGGAAGGUGACGCGGACGCCAGAGGUUGGGGUGAAAGAUGGAAGACUGGGAUCCCCCGCCCCGCCCCGCCCCGCCCCUACAGCUGAGAAUAAAGAAGAAACUGAGGCAGAGAGCAGCUAAGUAACUUAUCAAGGCCACAGCUGAGAGGAAGGAGAGGGAUAGAAGCAUCAAUGAGAAUCACUGAUCGGCUGCCCCCUGCACGCCCCCUACUGGGCAUCCAGCAGGCAACCCGGGCAUGUGCUCUUGACUGGAACUGAACCGGGGACCCUUCAAUCCGCGGGGACGCUCUAUCCACCGAGCCAAACCAGCUCGGGCUGUUUGCUAUUUCUAACCUGGGCUCCUGAAGAAGUAAACAAAGAAUAGGGGUGAUGCCAAUCUUGUGGAAUAGAAUUUCUC
Molecule: long non-coding RNA, 506 nt
Organism: Eptesicus fuscus (big brown bat)
Lineage: Eukaryota; Metazoa; Chordata; Mammalia; Chiroptera; Vespertilionidae
Exons: 3
Source: RefSeq, a predicted model, not a curated record